UACGGAGGGUGCAAGCGUUAAUCGGAAUUACUGGGCGUAAAGCGCGCGUAGGCGGCUCUGUAAGUCGGAUGUGAAAUCCCCGGGCUUAACCUGGGAACUGCAUUCGAUACUGCAGAGCUAGAGUAUGGUAGAGGGAAGUGGAAUUUCCGGUGUAGCGGUGAAAUGCGUAGAUAUCGGAAGGAACACCAGUGGCGAAGGCGACUUCCUGGGCCAAUACUGACGCUGAGGUGCGAAAGCGUGGGGAGCAAACAGG
RNAcentral lists this ribosomal RNA (253 nucleotides) under uncultured bacterium. Its description in RNAcentral is "partial 16S ribosomal RNA". It matches the Rfam family "Bacterial small subunit ribosomal RNA", at positions 524 to 776 of the family's 1533-position model. The record is from RNAcentral.